GGGCUGAGAAACCUAGGCAGAUAACAUCUCCUUAUUUCUUAACACUCUCUUAGAAAAUUAAAAGGACUUUGUAGAAAAUCCUUUUGACUGAUGGAGUAGCUCCGAGGAACAGAGAAAGACAGAUUAACAAGAUGAAAGACCAGGAGCCAGAGGACCCAGACCAGGAGCCAGAAGACCCAGAUGCUUUGAGGGCAACAUCUUCCUUUUGUUGGAAAUAAUUAAGUGGUUCCUCUUAUUAGGUCAUGAGUGAGGUAUUGAACACUCCAGCAGUAAUCUGCACAGACCUCCAUUCUUCCAGACCUCCCUGCCAACAAUUCCGUAAGCACUCAAUUCCAGUAAAAUCCUUCUUCUGUUUAAAAUGCCUAGAAAAUUUUCUAUUUUCCUGACCAGCUUUGACUGAUACAAACAGAAAAUGUGGUGCCAGGUCCUGCAACCAUCAUCUUGCAGACAAUCCUUUCACAAUAUUCCAACAUGCUGAGGAUUCCGAGACAGAAAGACAACAGAUUCUCAGACGAUGUCAUUGAGCCACUGCCCCAGAUCCCGACAGCAUCGCGUUUUCACUGCUUUUUAGAACAUUUACUGGUGAUGAGAGACUCUAAAGAAGUCACAGCUUGCUUCCUUUCUGAAGAACGUUGUGAUUUUGGCUCACGUGCAGUGCACGACAACUCUUCUCCAACAGCAUGACAUAGUCCACUGUCUCAGGAUCCCAUUUUUCCACCAGCUGCAGAGCAGGAAGGGACAAAUCAAAGUGUGAGCAUUCGGAUCACCAACGCUGUGACCUCGCUGUGUGAACGGGAGCUACUACAGGAAGGAAGCUUACAAAUGAGCUGCAUGGAUCCCACAUUUUGCUAAAAUCAAAUAGGACCUUUCUCCUCUUUGUUGAAUGCCGUAAUACACAAGAAAUAAGCCAGCAGGAUGCUCAUGUCCAAGGUUUCCCUUUAUCUACCACACGAGUUGGCAUGAAACAACUUCUGGGGUUCAAAUCUUCUGAACAAUGAUACAAGUCUUGGCAAAUUUCAAGAAUAAUUUAAAGAGGAAAUAAAUAGCUUUUUGUUUAACUUGGAUCAAUUAUCUCCUAUUGCUCCCAGCUUCAUGCCAGGUACUCUCCACUGUGCCUGGGAAAUAUGAAUCCCUGCCCUCAUGAAAAAACAUUGGCCAUGAGGAUUUUCCCUACAACCCAAGAACUAUUUGAAGUUUGAAGUCUUUCAGCCCAGACAACACUGGCUAUUUUCACCUUUGCCUUCAACUAUAAAGGCUGGGCUCUCUCUGCAGGAGUGGGUUACUGCUGGCAGAACAGAGAAAGAGAGAGAGCAGGAGAGAGAGAGACAGACAGAAUCCACUAGUAGAAUAAGCCAUGAUCACCACUCAAAACUUGUAAGUUUACUUCUUUGCUAAUAGAUAUUGGAAUCAUUAAGUUUGCUCUUAAAAAAGUAUUUUUGUUUUGUUUUGUUUUUUCAGUUGCUACUACUUGAUCAGUACCUGGAAUUCUGAGGAAAACCCUAUUAGAGAUUGCAAAUCCAGUAAAUAAAGGCAGCAGUGGUACCUUGUUAAAAACAUCAAAUCCAAAGUGCUCUGAGGAGGAAUAUGUACGGUGUGUUCUAGGGACAGAAAAUAAGACAAACGUGGCUGGAGUAUUGGAAGGGGAAGUGAGUGUUACUAGAGAAGGUCAUGAGGUGAGGCGGGCCAGAUCAUAUGGGUCUGUGUAAGCUAUGGCAAGGAGUGUGGAUUUUAUUCCAAGUAAGAUGGAAAGCCUUUAUGAAGUUUUAAAAACGGCAGUGUUAUGAUUUGUAACAUCUGAGUUUAUGUUUACAUCGUGGCCAAAUUAUUUUAUAAAAUAAUGUAAUAAUGGUUCAACAGUUUGAUUGUGUUGCCCUUAAAAUUUCACAAGACUUAAAAUUUUCUACACUAUUCAUUUCAGUAUUGACUGUAAUUUAAUAACUCAAUUAGUAAUGUUAAAUAAAUUAUUUGUUACUACCUAUUGAAAUUAUAUAUAUAUAUACACACACACAUAUCUGUUUAAUAUAAUAUACAUGUGUCUGAUAUAUAUAUAUAUAUUUAUGAAUUAUAUAUGAAAACACUGGCUUUCUUGAUUUCGUCGUCGGAUGUUUUCCUUGAACAUUUACCAAGCCAUUGGUAUUCUAAUGCUAUAGAAACUGGUGUUAAUAACUCUAUUAUAAAAUGUCUAUUGAUAACCUUUAAAUAUUCUUAUAGAAAUAGUCUUUUCAGGGGGCUGGGCAUGGUGGUUCAUGCCUGUAAUCUCAGCACUUUGAGAGGCCAAGGCAGGUGGAUAACCUGAGGUCAGGAGUUCCAGACCUGCCUGGUUAAUGUGGCGAAACCCCAUCUUUACUAAAAAUACAAAAUGUAGCCGGGCAUGUUGGCGAGCACCUCUAAUCCCAGCUACUUGGGAGCCUGAGGCAGAAGAAUCACUUGAACACUGGAGGCAGAGGUUGCAGUGAGCCGAGAUCGUGCCAUUACACUUCAACCUGGG
This 2488-nucleotide long non-coding RNA is filed under the name Homo sapiens (human). Its description in RNAcentral is "novel transcript". The record is from RNAcentral. Lineage: Eukaryota; Metazoa; Chordata; Mammalia; Primates; Hominidae.